This 675-nucleotide ribosomal RNA is filed under the name uncultured bacterium. RNAcentral describes it as "bacterial SSU rRNA". It matches the Rfam family "Bacterial small subunit ribosomal RNA", at positions 8 to 693 of the family's 1533-position model. The record is from RNAcentral.
AGAGUUUGAUCCUGGCUCAGGACGAACGCUGGCGGUGUGCUUCACACAUGCAAGUCGAGCGAAUGAAGAAGGUAGCUUGCUACUUUUGGAUUUAGCGGCGGACGGGUGAGUAAUAUAUAGGAAUCUGCCCUAGAGCGGGGAACAACAGACCGAAAGGUUUGCUAAUGCCCCAUAGGUACGCAGUCUUCGGAUUGUUUAUUAAAGGAGUAAUCCACUCUAGGAUGAGCCUGUAUCCGAUUAGCUAGUUGGCGGGGUAAAGGCCCACCAAGGCUACGAUCGGUAGUUGGUCUGAGAGGAUGAUCAGCCACAAUGGGACUGAGACACGGCCCAUACUCCUACGGGAGGCAGCAGUGGGGAAUUUUACACAAUGGGGGAAACCCUGAUGUAGCGACACCGCGUGAACGAAGAAGCCUUUUGGGGUGUAAAGUUCUGUCGGCUGGAACGAAAAAAAUGACGGUACCAGCAAAGGAAGCAUCGGCUAACUACGUGCCAGCAGCCGCGGUAAGACGUAGGAUGCAAGCGUUGUCCGGAUUUAUUGGGCGUAAAGAGUUCGUAGGCGGUUAUUUAAGUCUGGUGUUAAAUACUGUGGCCCAGCCACAGAACUGCAUUGGAUACUGGAUGACUUGAGUGCGGUAGAGGCGAGUGGAAUUCCCAGUGUAGCGGUGAAAUGCGUAG